GAUGAACGCUGGCGGCGUGCCUAAUACAUGCAAGUCGAGCGAACGGACGAGAAGCUUGCUUUUCUGAUGUUAGCGGCGGACGGGUGAGUAACACGUGGAUAACCUACCUAUAAGACUGGGAUAACUUCGGGAAACCGGAGCUACUACCGGAUAAUAUUUUGAACCGCAUGGUUCAAAAGUGAAAGACGGUCUUGCUGUCACUUAUAGAUGGAUCCGCGCUGCAUUAGCUAGUUGGUAAGGUAACGGCUUACCAAGGCAACGAUGCAUAGCCGACCUGAGAGGGUGAUCGGCCACACUGGAACUGAGACACGGUCCAGACUCCGACGGGAGGAAGCAGUAGGGAAUCUUCCGCAAUGGGCGAAAGCCUGACGGAGCAACGCCGCGUGAGUGAUGAAGGUCUUCGGAUCGUAAAACUCUGUUAUUAGGAAAGAACAUAUGUGUAAGUAACUGUGCACGUCUUGACGGUACCUAAUCAGAAAGCCACGGCUAACUACGUG
RNAcentral lists this ribosomal RNA (497 nucleotides) under uncultured bacterium. RNAcentral describes it as "partial 16S ribosomal RNA". It matches the Rfam family "Bacterial small subunit ribosomal RNA", at positions 28 to 507 of the family's 1533-position model. The record is from RNAcentral.